This is a long non-coding RNA of Prunus dulcis (almond), 615 nucleotides long. RefSeq lists it as uncharacterized. The record is from RefSeq and is a predicted model, not a curated record. The transcript is spliced from 3 exons. NCBI's taxonomy places the organism in Eukaryota, Viridiplantae, Streptophyta, Magnoliopsida, Rosales, Rosaceae.
UUUAGUGAGGCUGAAACUUGCUUCACAAAUUAGCGAGUUCGCAAAAUAAAACACGCUAGUCCUCCAACACCGACAACUUUCAACGCCUCUCUCUCGUUUCGUUCAAUAUCGACUCCUGCUCUUCUUCCAAGCUAUACUCAGUUAAGUUUUUCUGGUCUCUCGCUUUGCAUUACAAUUGAGGUAGGGCUUGCAGUUGCAGAGAGAUAUAGAAGGAGGUGAACCAAAAUAUAUUAUUGGGUUAUUGCCUUUCAACGACAACUAUAUAUUUUGGGUGGCUUCAGGCUCUGCCAUCGCCGUAGAGAUUGAAAGGAGGUUUCUUGGGUGUGGCUAGAGGAUGUGGGUGGCAACACUUGGAUGUGUUUGCUUGGUUUGCUAAACUCGAUGGCAACACUUGGCUUUCAUUUUACAAAUUUCAUUUUGGAGCAGAGUUCCAAUUCGUAGAAGUUCCAAAAGGGGAGAAGCUGAAAAUAAUGAAAUCAGAAACAGAGAGAGAAGAAACGAAAAGGGAUGGUGAAGAGAGAGGAAGAAAAGAGAGAGGGGAGAGAGGAAAGAAGAAAAUGCUUCACUAAUUAAAUAUUAGAAUUUAUUUGCCUCUUUCCUUAAUGAAAUAAUGAA